GCCACAAAAAGAACUCAUUUAAUAAUCAAUAUCCAACCAAGACUAAGAACAAUUUCUAUAUAUGCAUCCAUGAUUAGCAAGUUUCUUUAUAUGCAUCCAUGAUUUACACGCUUUAUAAAAAGUAGACAACUCUAUAGGAAUUUAAUAUCACAUUCAGAUGCAUAAAUGCUAAAACUUAAGCCAAAACACAAAAACGUUGAAGAUGAAAACUUAAGAAAACAAUGAACGUAUUCAGAAAUAGAAGCGAUCAAAAAAAUGGUCACACAUUUUCAUGCUUGUAAUCUCAAUCUCGGUCUCGUCUCAUAUCUUCCUCCCUGGACAAAAAAUUCAAAUGGCAUGGAUGAAAAAUGUCAUUAAUCUGCAGAUCUGUGGAACCCAUGGAAGAAAACACAUAUUUCUAAUGACUUUCAUAAAAUCUAUAAUAAGUCUCUCCUUACAUCCAAAUAUCAAUGUGUUUUUGAUGAGUUUUAAGAUAUACAUCUCUGUAAAUGUCUUGGCUUGUUGCAUAUAUAUGAACACUAAAAUAAAAUAGAUAAUUCAGUUGUGACUUGUUACUACAUUGAUUUUUCCCAAUAAGCAUUUUAGUUCCAGAUAUGUGUAUAGAUCAACAACCAAACCACCCACAAAGAAAUACGGAGAAACGUAGAAAAUUGAAACUAUAACCUACUAACAGAUUAACAAAGGAAGAAAGACUAACUUUUUUACAUAUUAUGCAUCAGAAUAAGGGCAGUGAUGCUUGUCACCAAAUGAACAAAUAUUCCUUAAUUAACACAACAAAAAUCACCUUUACAUACAACCACUCAGACACAUAAGACCUCAAAUACCCAACCAUGUACAUCCACAUACAUAUAGCAACAACACACUUAAAUCAAGAGGGGCAGUUUGGUAACUUUCCAUUGGUUUCUUGAUAAUUGAAUGCCACCUCAACUUACCUGCAGUUUUUCGGUCAUGGCCAUCAUCGGUUUGGUGGAUUCGUCUGGAAUAAAUGAAAUACGAAACCAAAACACCAAAAAACAAAAUGAAAGCAGAUACAAAUCAAAUAAGAAAUCUAAUACCAAAAUGGAAAGCAAAUAAAACCCGAAUGGUGAAGAUCGUCGUUAAGGAAAAGCAGUCGUGAUGUCAUGGUCGUCGAUAAGGAAAAAAAUCAACAAUCGUUUAAUCUUUACCGAAAACGAAGAGACAGAGAAUGUAUCAGAGAGAUCGUAAGGUGUGGGAGUCUGUAAUAAAAGUAAACGGAGACAUACCUCGGUGGUGGGAUCCUGAAUACAUGGUAUCUAGGGUUUAUGGUGACUACUAGUUUCUAGAGGUGGAGGCCGGUGCUAGGCUGUGCUGGUGAAGAGAUGGAAGCUCGAUUGUAGCGGCGGUGGCAGAGGUAAACAAUGGAGGCGGUGAUUAGGGUUGUCGAGAGAACCGGGAAGGGGAGUCGAGGAACAUAUUUUUUAUUUUCAAAUUUAAAUUGAUUAUGCGCUAGUGUUUUUUGUGUUAUAAACAGGGAGCAUGGCUCAUUGGUUUGUGGUAUUAGAUCAACGGCCGAAUGACACCCCAAGUUGGCAAUCCGUGUCAAAUUAUUGACCCGUCCUUUUUUUCAAUGCUUCCCAACAUUAUGCAAAAUAGAGAUUGACUGUAAAUUAUGUAAAGUAGGAGGAUAGAAGCUUUGUAAUAGUACGGUAAAUGUGAGGGAAGG
This 1684-nucleotide long non-coding RNA is filed under the name Lactuca sativa (garden lettuce). Its description in RNAcentral is "long non-coding RNA (LSAT_LNC007606)". The record is from RNAcentral. Lineage: Eukaryota; Viridiplantae; Streptophyta; Magnoliopsida; Asterales; Asteraceae.